GUGGCAGACCUUCUGCUUGAGUUUGCUGCAGCAGACACAACCGUCAAAUCCUUCAUGUGCAGCCAAAGUUUGCUCAGCCGUCUUUUUCAGAUGUUUAAUAAGAUAGAGCCCCCUAUUCUUCUUAAGCUUUUGAAAUGCAUUAAUCACCUUUCAACAGACCCACACUGCUUAGAACAUCUACAGCGAGCAGAUGCAAUCAAGUAUUUGAUACCCAAUCUUGAUCUCAAAGAGGGUCCCCUUGUGUCCCAAAUUCAUCAUGAGGUUCUAAAUGCAUUGUUCAACCUCUGUAAGAUCAAUAAGAGAAGACAGGAGCAAGCUGCGGAAAAUGGAAUUAUUCCACACUUGAUGCAUUUUAUCAUGACCAGUUCUCCAUUGAAACAAUAUGCAUUGCCUCUUCUAUGUGAUAUGGCUCAUGCAUCACGUAAUUCAAGAGAGCAGCUUCGCGCUCAUGGUGGGCUUGAUGUGUACCUGAGCUUACUUGAAGAUGAACUCUGGUCUGUCACGGCAUUAGAUUCCAUUGCUGUUUGUUUGGCACAUGACAAUGAAAGCAGGAAAGUGGAACAAGCUUUGCUUAAGAAGGAUGCCAUACAGAAAAUGGUCAAGUUCUUCGAAUGUUGUCCAGAACAGCAUUUUCUGCACAUACUGGAGCCUUUCUUGAAAAUUAUCACGAAAUCAUCUCGAAUAAAUACAACUCUGGCUGUCAAUGGAUUAACACCAUUGCUUGUCUCUAGACUUGAUCAUCGAGAUGCUAUAGCUCGACUGAAUUUGCUCAAGUUGAUAAAGGCUGUGUAUGAGCACCAUCCGCGUCCAAAACAGCUUAUUGUGGAGAAUGAUCUACCUCAAAAGCUUCAGAAUUUGAUUGAAGAGCGCAGAGAUGGACAAACUUCAGGUGGCCAAGUUUUGGUCAAACAGAUGGCGACUUCUCUGCUUAAAGCUCUCCACAUAAACACAGUUCUGUAAAUUAUUACUGCUGUAUAUUUCUAUGGUUUCAGGUCUGUAAUUAGUCCUUUUACUUGGUUUACAUUAUUUGCUGUGCUAUGGGUGUUUUCUAGGCCCCCUCUUUCCCAUGUAAUUAAUAUAUCCUUUGGUGUGUCUGAAAGUGAAAUGCUUGUAUCAAAUUUGUGAAUUUUCUUUAUGGAGUUAUGGACUAAAUGAGCAGUUUUA
RNAcentral lists this unclassified non-coding RNA (1164 nucleotides) under Hevea brasiliensis (rubber tree). The record is from RNAcentral. Lineage: Eukaryota; Viridiplantae; Streptophyta; Magnoliopsida; Malpighiales; Euphorbiaceae.